UACGUAGGGGGCGAGCGUUGUCCGGAUUUAUUGGGCGUAAAGAGCUCGUAGGCGGUUUGGUAAGUCGGGUGUGAAAUCUCCACGCUCAACGUGGAGGGGCCACUCGAUACUGCCAUGACUCGAGUCCGGUAGAGGAGUGUGGAAUUCCCGGUGUAGCGGUGAAAUGCGCAGAUAUCGGGAGGAACACCCGUAGCGAAGGCGGCACUCUGGGCCGGAACUGACGCUGAGGAGCGAAGCGUGGGGAGCAAACAGG
RNAcentral lists this ribosomal RNA (253 nucleotides) under uncultured bacterium. RNAcentral describes it as "partial 16S ribosomal RNA". It matches the Rfam family "Bacterial small subunit ribosomal RNA", at positions 524 to 776 of the family's 1533-position model. The record is from RNAcentral.